This is a non-coding RNA of Pantoea wallisii, 70 nucleotides long. Lineage: Bacteria; Pseudomonadati; Pseudomonadota; Gammaproteobacteria; Enterobacterales; Erwiniaceae. The record is from Rfam.
CAGGAGCUACGCGCAUGGAUGCGCGUAGCAGACCGGGCCGGUCAGGAGGACCGAUCCCGGUCGGUCCGUC